AUAAGAGUUUUGAACCUUUUUUCAGGAUGAACGCUGGCGGCGUGCCUAAUACAUGCAAGUCGAGCGAACAGACGAGGAGCUUGCUCCUCUGACGUUAGCGGCGGACGGGUGAGUAACACGUGGAUAACCUACCUAUAAGACUGGGAUAACUUCGGGAAACCGGAGCUAAUACCGGAUAAUAUAUUGAACCGCAUGGUUCAAUAGUGAAAGACGGUUUUGCUGUCACUUAUAGAUGGAUCCGCGCCGCAUUAGCUAGUUGGUAAGGUAACGGCUUACCAAGGCAACGAUGCGUAGCCGACCUGAGAGGGUGAUCGGCCACACUGGAACUGAGACACGGUCCAGACUCCUACGGGAGGCAGCAGUAGGGAAUCUUCCGCAAUGGGCGAAAGCCUGACGGAGCAACGCCGCGUGAGUGAUGAAGGUCUUCGGAUCGUAAAACUCUGUUAUUAGGGAAGAACAAAUGUGUAAGUAACUAUGCACGUCUGACGUACCUAAUCAGAUGACCAUUGCNC
This 512-nucleotide ribosomal RNA is filed under the name Staphylococcus aureus. RNAcentral describes it as "bacterial SSU rRNA". It matches the Rfam family "Bacterial small subunit ribosomal RNA", at positions 1 to 499 of the family's 1533-position model. The record is from RNAcentral. Lineage: Bacteria; Bacillati; Bacillota; Bacilli; Caryophanales; Staphylococcaceae.